Molecule: ribosomal RNA, 418 nt
Filed under: uncultured bacterium
Lineage: Bacteria
Description: bacterial SSU rRNA
Rfam family: Bacterial small subunit ribosomal RNA
Source: RNAcentral
GGAAUAUUGCGCAAUGGAGGAAACUCUGACGCAGCCAUGCCGCGUGCAGGAAGAAGGCGCUACGCGUUGUAAACUGCUUUUAACCGGGAAGAAACCCCAGGACGUGUCCUGGGUUGACGGUACCGGAGGAAUAAGCACCGGCUAACUUCGUGCCAGCAGCCGCGGUAAUACGAAGGGUGCAAGCGUUAUCCGGAUUCAUUGGGUUUAAAGGGUGCGUAGGCGGGGCAAUAAGUCAGUGGUGAAAUCCUGCGGCUUAACCGUAGAAUUGCCAUUGAUACUGUUGCUCUUGAGUAGGCUCGACGUGGGCGGAAUGUGCCGUGUAGCGGUGAAAUGCUUAGAUAUGGCACAGAACACCGAUAGUGAAGACAGCUCACGAGGGCCAAACUGACGCUGAGGCACGAAAGCGUGGGGAUCGAAC